GUUUUGAUAGCUUAAAUAAAGCAUGGCACUGAAAAUGCUAAGAUGAACCCUAACAAGUUCUCCAAACA
This 68-nucleotide transfer RNA is filed under the name Allobates nunciatus. RNAcentral describes it as "tRNA-Phe". It matches the Rfam family "tRNA". From Rfam's summary of the family: Transfer RNA (tRNA) molecules are approximately 80 nucleotides in length. Their secondary structure includes four short double-helical elements and three loops (D, anti-codon, and T loops). Lineage: Eukaryota; Metazoa; Chordata; Amphibia; Anura; Aromobatidae. The record is from RNAcentral.